UACGGAGGGUGCAAGCGUUGUUCGGAAUCACUGGGCGUAAAGCGAGUGUAGGCGGCUUGAUAAGUCGGGUGUGAAAGCCCAGGGCUCAACCCUGGAACUGCGCCCGAUACUGUCAUGGCUUGAGUACGGGAGAGGGUUGCGGAAUUGUCGGUGUAGAGGUGAAAUUCGUAGAUAUCGGCAAGAACACCAGCGGCGAAGGCGGCAACCUGGACCGAUACUGACGCUCAGACUCGAAAGCGUGGGGAGCAAACAGG
This 254-nucleotide ribosomal RNA is filed under the name uncultured bacterium. Its description in RNAcentral is "partial 16S ribosomal RNA". It matches the Rfam family "Bacterial small subunit ribosomal RNA", at positions 524 to 776 of the family's 1533-position model. The record is from RNAcentral.